CCAGGUUCAUGCCCAAGCUUUAUUUCAACAAAAUGCAAAAACAGAAGGGUUUUUGAUGCUCCCGGGCAAAAUGCUACCUUAAACAAUCACUUGAGCAAAUAGACUAAACUCCAACAUGGGUGCCAAAAUUAGGCUUGGAGAAAGGCAGCUGCUGGAAGUGGACGCAGACUGAACUCCAACAUAAGUGCCAUAACUCUAGAUCUAAUAACAAUAAUAAUAAAUAGGGAAGGUUCAGAUUCGCUACUUGUUCAUCACGGGGAGAAACGAUCUUGCAUUUCUCCGUUUUCUCAGCGGAGGAGAAGUGAUGUUGCAUCUUCUCCUCUCUUAUCAGCGGAGGAGAAGCGAUCUGGUUUUUUCUUCUCUCUUCCACCGAAUCCCAUCCAAAGAGUUAAACAUGGCUGCUGCGGUUCCCAUGCCGACCAUCCAAGCUGCCCCACCAUCGCCUUAUAACGACCAGAAAACGAAACAUCGAAGAGAAGAUACAAUUGAUUUAAGAUCUAUGUUGAGGGCCAUAUAUAAUCAUAAGAAUCAUGAGUUCACCAUCACCAAAGGCGACUGAUCCAAGAUCGCGCGCGCCAACAGUGUUCGUCAUCAUCGGCUUCUCACAUAUCAAAACCAAUAUAGAUUUACAGAGAUCCAUAAACCACAACCAACAGAGAUAGAGAUAAAGCGAUCAAGAAAAGAAGAAAAAACGUGGAGUAAAUUAGAGGAAAAAACCUUCGGCGUCGGAGAGAAAAGAAAUAGAGGAAGGGAAGAGGGAAACCUUUCCGUAGCGCCAUUUCCCGCUCUGUCCCCAAGACGAAGCAUGGCCUCAUGAACUACCUGGAAGACCUACAGAAUUUGAAUGCGCCACGCCUCGGCCCAAGGUGUUUCCAUGCGACGGCACCGACCUUGACCGGGCCGGUCUGCAAAAGAUGUUUCUCGA
RNAcentral lists this long non-coding RNA (925 nucleotides) under Musa acuminata (dwarf banana). Its description in RNAcentral is "long non-coding RNA (MACU_LNC006000)". The record is from RNAcentral. Lineage: Eukaryota; Viridiplantae; Streptophyta; Magnoliopsida; Zingiberales; Musaceae.